CUCAAAGGAAUUGACGGGGGCCCGCACAAGCGGCGGAGCAUGCGGAUUAAUUCGAUGCAACGCGAAGAACCUUACCAAGGCUUGACAUGAACCGGUAAUACCUGGAAACAGGUGCCCCGCUUGCGGUCGGUUUACAGGUGGUGCAUGGUUGUCGUCAGCUCGUGUCGUGAGAUGUUGGGUUAAGUCCCGCAACGAGCGCAACCCUCGUUCUAUGUUGCCAGCGCGUUAUGGCGGGGACUCAUAGGAGACUGCCGGGGUCAACUCGGAGGAAGGUGGGGACGACGUCAAAUCAUCAUGCCCCUUAUGUCUUGGGCUUCACGCAUGCUACAAUGGCCGGUACAAAGGGUUGCGAUACUGUGAGGUGGAGCUAAUCCCAAAAAGCCGGUCUCAGUUCGGAUUGGGGUCUGCAACUCGACCCCAUGAAGUCGGAGUCGCUAGUAAUCGCAGAUCAGCAACGCUGCGGUGAAUACGUUCCCGGGCCUUGUACACACCGCCCGUCAAGUCACGAAAGUUGGUAACACCCGAAGCCGGUGGCCUAACCCUUGUGGGGGGAGCCGUCGAAGGUGGGACCGGCGAUUGGGACUAAGUCGUAACAAGGUAGCCGUACCGGAAGGUGCGGCUGGAUCNCCUCCU
RNAcentral lists this ribosomal RNA (633 nucleotides) under bacterium TN31A. RNAcentral describes it as "bacterial SSU rRNA". It matches the Rfam family "Bacterial small subunit ribosomal RNA", at positions 900 to 1531 of the family's 1533-position model. The record is from RNAcentral.